This 138-nucleotide unclassified non-coding RNA is filed under the name plant metagenome. RNAcentral's name for it is "partial contains small subunit ribosomal RNA and internal transcribed spacer 1". The stretch from base 1 to 46 matches the Rfam family "Eukaryotic small subunit ribosomal RNA", at positions 1786 to 1831 of the family's 1831-position model. The record is from RNAcentral.
AAGUCGUAACAAGGUUUCCGUAGGUGAACCUGCGGAAGGAUCAUUACUGUGAUUUUACCUUUCCACACAUGCGUGAGCGCACUAAACACACAAACCGUCGUACCACAUAUUCCAAAAGUUUUCUAUAUGAUACAAAAU